Molecule: ribosomal RNA, 306 nt
Filed under: Rhodella violacea
Lineage: Eukaryota; Rhodophyta; Rhodellophyceae; Rhodellales; Rhodellaceae
Description: partial Bacterial small subunit ribosomal RNA
Rfam family: Bacterial small subunit ribosomal RNA
Source: RNAcentral
AAGCACCGGCCAACUACGUGCCAUCAGCCGCGGUAAUACGUAGGGUGCAAGCGUUGUCCGGAAUUAUUGGGCGUAAAGAGCUCGUAGGCGGUUUGUCGCGUCGAAUGUGAAAACCCGGGGCUCAACUCCGGGCCUGCAUUCGAUACGGGCAGACUAGAGUUCGGUAGGGGAGACUGGAAUUCCUGGUGUAGCGGUGGAAUGCGCAGAUAUCAGGAGGAACACCGGUGGCGAAGGCGGGUCUCUGGGCAGUAACUGACGCUGAGGAGCGAAAGCGUGGGGAGCGAACAGGAUUAGAUACCCUGGUAG